RNAcentral lists this ribosomal RNA (498 nucleotides) under freshwater sediment clone ppF9dna. Its description in RNAcentral is "bacterial SSU rRNA". It matches the Rfam family "Bacterial small subunit ribosomal RNA", at positions 28 to 494 of the family's 1533-position model. The record is from RNAcentral.
GUUUAACGCUUGCGGUGCGCCUAACACAUGUAAGUCGUGCGAUCGAGCCGAACUGAGUUUCCUUCGGGAGACGAUGAUUGGUGACGGAGCGGCGGACGGGUGAGUAACGCGUGGCUAACCUACCCUCUUGACGGGGACAACCACCCGAAAGGGCGGCUAAUACCCGAUGUUGUUUGGAACCGAUGGGUUCCUUUCCAAAGGCGGUCCUGCCGCCGCAAGAGGAUGGGGCUGCGUCCUAUUAGCUAGUUGGUGAGGUAACGGCCCACCAAGGCUUCGAUGGGUAGCUGGUCUGAGAGGACGACCAGCCACAUUGGGACUGAGAUACGGCCCAGACUCCUACGGGAGGCAGCAGUGGGGAAUCUUGGCCAAUGGACGAAAGUCUGAGCCAGCGACACCGCGUGGGGGAUGACGGCCUUCGGGUUGUAAACCUCUUUUCUGGGGAAAGAAUAAGGACGGGAGAAAUGCCCGUUCGAUGACGGUACUCCAGGAAUAAGCAUC